GUCUAUGGCCAUGCCACCCUGAACAUGCCCAAUCUCAUCUGAUCUCGGAGGCUAAGCAGGGUCAGGCCUGAUUAGUACUUGGAUGGGAGACAACCUAGGAAAACCAGGUGCUGUAGGUG
RNAcentral lists this ribosomal RNA (119 nucleotides) under Pteropus alecto (black flying fox). The record is from RNAcentral. Lineage: Eukaryota; Metazoa; Chordata; Mammalia; Chiroptera; Pteropodidae.